This 486-nucleotide ribosomal RNA is filed under the name uncultured bacterium. RNAcentral's name for it is "bacterial SSU rRNA". It matches the Rfam family "Bacterial small subunit ribosomal RNA", at positions 28 to 507 of the family's 1533-position model. The record is from RNAcentral.
GAUGAACGCUAGCGGGAGGCUUAAUACAUGCAAGUCGAGCGGUAAUUUAGGAAUAGCAAUAUUUCUGAGCUAGAGCGGCGCACGGGUGAGUAACGCGUACACGACCUGCCCUUUACUGGGGGAUAGCCUUGGGAAACUGAGAUUAAUACCCCAUGGUAUUAUUAUGCUGCAUGGUAUAAUAAUUAAAGCUGAGGCGGUAAAGGAUGGGUGUGCGUCUGAUUAGCUAGUUGGUGAGGUAACGGCUCACCAAGCCGACGAUCAGUAACUGGUCUGAGAGGACGAACAGUCACACUGGAACUGAGACACGGUCCAGACUCCUACGGGAGGCAGCAGUGAGGAAUAUUGCACAAUGGGAGGAAUCCUGAUGCAGCGACGCCGCGUGCGGGAUGAAGGGGCUUAGCCUCGUAAACCGCUGUCGGAGGGGACGAAUGGUACAUUUGAUGUACUGAGACGGUACCCUCAAAGGAAGGAUCGGCUAACUACGUG